RNAcentral lists this ribosomal RNA (531 nucleotides) under uncultured bacterium. RNAcentral describes it as "bacterial SSU rRNA". It matches the Rfam family "Bacterial small subunit ribosomal RNA", at positions 231 to 779 of the family's 1533-position model. The record is from RNAcentral.
CCGCGUUAGAUUAGAUAGUUGGUGGGGUAAUGGCCUACCAAGUCUACGAUCUAUAGCUGGUUUUAGAGGACGAUCAGCAACACUGGGACUGAGACACGGCCCAGACUCCUACGGGAGGCAGCAGUGGGGAAUCUUAGACAAUGGGCGCAAGCCUGAUCUAGCCAUGCCGCGUGAGUGAUGAAGGCCUUAGGGUCGUAAAGCUCUUUCGCCAGGGAUGAUAAUGACAGUACCUGGUAAAGAAACCCCGGCUAACUCCGUGCCAGCAGCCGCGGUAAUACGGAGGGGGUUAGCGUUGUUCGGAAUUACUGGGCGUAAAGCGUACGUAGGCGGAUCAGAAAGUUGGGGGUGAAAUCCCGGGGCUCAACCCCGGAACUGCCUCCAAAACUCCUGGUCUUGAGUUCGAGAGAGGUGAGUGGAAUUCCAAGUGUAGAGGUGAAAUUCGUAGAUAUUCGGAGGAACACCAGUGGCGAAGGCGGCUCACUGGCUCGAUACUGACGCUGAGGUACGAAAGUGUGGGGAGCAAACAGGAUU